Molecule: non-coding RNA, 794 nt
Organism: Salvia hispanica
Lineage: Eukaryota; Viridiplantae; Streptophyta; Magnoliopsida; Lamiales; Lamiaceae
Source: RefSeq, a predicted model, not a curated record
AAUUAACUCUAAUUAAUCUAUCCCUUAUUGUAAUUAACAAAUUAAUCUCUCUGACACCCACUCACCCACCACUCACCCGUAACAUUCAUUUUACACAUUCUUCUUUCUCACUCUUCAAUCAUCCUCUCCAGUUUCUCUCUCUAUUCAAUUAUUGAAUCCCUAAAUUCCGCCUCAUCUAUGCAAAAAAUCUCUACAUUCCAGAGGUGAACUCCUAUUUUUCACCUCCAUCUUCGCGACUCUCUAUAUCUGAGAGGUGAAACCCUAAAUUUUCAUUGGGUUCUCUCUUUCGUCUCUCUCUUCCGCCUACUUUGCCCUCUUGGUUCUCUCGGAUCUACCAUGCCCGGCUAGAGGAUUUGUCAGGGUGGAUGGAUUAAUUCAUGUCUCCCACGCACGCCGAUUAUAAAAAAUUGCAUCUAGACGUUUGGUGAUAUUUUUGCAUUCCAAUAUCUUGUGCAUGUCUGCCUUGAUAUCGAGAACUUAAGUUGAGCUUCCUUGAGUGUACCUCGUGGUGGUUUUCCUUUGAUGCAACGUUCAAGGAUGAAUUGAACCACUUGGUUUCGUUGUUCCGAGGAGUAUUCACGAGGCCUCAUUCUCUCUUUUGUUUCUGUUUUGAUCUUUCCAGUUUGAUAGGAUGUGUGAAUAUCAGAUUAUGUAUUUAUAGGCAGUAAAUGCUUAAAUUAGGCGCCAAGUCUGUAAUUGUUUUGCUCUUUUGGUUCUGCCGCCAUUUACAAAAUUUUGGAGGUGGAUUUGUAAUCUAUUUUUGGUUCUACCGCUAAGUAAUGAUAUUUAUUACA